GGGGAGGGUCAUUGGAAACUGGGGAACUUGAGUGCAGAAGAGGAGAGUGGAAUUCCACGUGUAGCGGUGAAAUGCGUAGAGAUGUGGAGGAACACCAGUGGCGAAGGCGACUCUCUGGUCUGUAACUGACGCUGAGGAGCGAAAGCGUGGGGAGCGAACAGGAUUAGAUACCCUGGUAGUCCACGCCGUAAACGAUGAGUGCUAAGUGUUAGGGGGUUUCCGCCCCUUAGUGCUGCAGCUAACGCAUUAAGCACUCCGCCUGGGGAGUACGGUCGCAAGACUGAAACUCAAAGGAAUUGACGGGGGCCCGCACAAGCGGUGGAGCAUGUGGUUUAAUUCGAAGCAACGCGAAGAACCUUACCAGGUCUUGACAUCCUCUGACAAUCCUAGAGAUAGGACGUCCCCUUCGGGGGCAGAGUGACAGGUGGUGCAUGGUUGUCGUCAGCUCGUGUCGUGAGAUGUUGGGUUAAGUCCCGCAACGAGCGCAACCCUUGAUCUUAGUUGCCAGCAUUCAGUUGGGCACUCUAAGGUGACUGCCGGUGACAAACCGGAGGAAGGUGGGGAUGACGUCAAAUCAUCAUGCCCCUUAUGACCUGGGCUACACACGUGCUACAAUGGACAGAACAAAGGGCAGCGAAACCGCGAGGUUAAGCCAAUCCCACAAAUCUGUUCUCAGUUCGGAUCGCAGUCUGCAACUCGACUGCGUGAAGCUGGAAUCGCUAGUAAUCGCGGAUCAGCAUG
This 741-nucleotide ribosomal RNA is filed under the name Bacillus sp. SKS62. RNAcentral describes it as "bacterial SSU rRNA". It matches the Rfam family "Bacterial small subunit ribosomal RNA", at positions 615 to 1356 of the family's 1533-position model. Lineage: Bacteria; Bacillati; Bacillota; Bacilli; Caryophanales; Bacillaceae. The record is from RNAcentral.